Molecule: long non-coding RNA, 8633 nt
Filed under: Setaria italica (foxtail millet)
Lineage: Eukaryota; Viridiplantae; Streptophyta; Magnoliopsida; Poales; Poaceae
Description: long non-coding RNA (SITA_LNC003430)
Source: RNAcentral
AGGUCCGGGCGCGUGCGGCUCACCUAUUUUUGGAGUAGAUGGCCGGGUGGUAGGGAUGAUCAUCUCUGGAGUCCAAGAUAUGACAUAUGUUCUUUCAGUGGGGUGGAUAUGGGAGACACUACAGAUGUACUUCUAGUACUAUGUACACAUACAAGCUAGUAUAUUUUCACUGCACUGGAGUAGUUAAAUUAAUAAUGGCACAUUUACAAUAUCCUGGGCAUUGCUAAUUAAUUAAGGCGCGCCAGUAUACUCGUACCUGCAGGAACUAUGACCAGUUGCAUCCCGGAAGCAUUGAUGCAAAGUAUGGCGGAACCACCUCUGAUUAACUUAACUAAAGCACGGUUAAGUCGCCUGACGUGCGAUCCUCAUGCCUUAAUCAAGUUAACUCGAUGUGCCUGUGACGGCCUCGGACAAAAAUCCUACGCGUCAAUCUUAAUACGAGCCCCUGAUCACCUGUCUUAGUUUUUCCAAGCCUAAGUGUUCAACCUCCAGCUCUUUCAACCCCUGCGAUCCGACCCCUCGCCGUGGUCUUUCCAGUUCCGACCCCGCCGACCCUCAACCCCCGUCGGAUCUUCCUAAGCCAUCCCGCAGCAUUGCCCUCCAGUUCGAGCAGUGGACCACCGAGACUGACCGGUGGGCCCACUAGAUCUUUUCCCCUAGAUCUCCCGUGACAGGCGCACUCGAGUUGCAUGCCCGCUUCAGUUUUUCCCCGCCGCGUGGCUCAACUCCUCUGACGUCCGCCGCUCCGCCUCGUCUCCGGCCCGCGACAAGAUGGAUUCUCGCGCCCCCUUCCCCAAUCGCGGCAGAAGCCCCUCUGCAACCCUUUCUGCAGUACCUCGCCGCCCGCGCCCAUCAUCACAUCGCCAGAUCCCGGCCGCAGAGCCUGAUGCCGCCCGUCUUUUCUGUCACCUCGCCACAGACGCGCUGCCCCGGUCUUUGCUACACGACGAUUCCUCCUUCGCCAACCCAAACCGCGGCAGCGACAGCUCCUUUUUUCCGCCCUGUCAGAAGCCGCUCCGACAAUCUGUUGCUCCGCGCUCGCCCGCGCGCCCGCAGCCGCCUGUCUUCUCACCUGUGCGCCCUCGAUCCUAGUGCUGUUUUCCCGGUCACUUCCAUCAGAUCCACCGCACGACGACGCCCGCCUCCGCCAAAUCUCAACCACCAGCAAACCCGCGCCUGCGCCGCCCUGACGUCAGGGCCCAAUGACCGCCGGCGUCAUCCCCGAAGUCCUUCUUCACCGCCCUCGUCGCUCAAUCGCCGCCCGGGCAGAGCACUCCAUCGCUUCUUCCCCGGCCUUCGCGCCGCUCCCCCUUCUCACUCCCGCGCAGCUAUAAAAGGGAAUGCAGAAGUCCUGCCGGAGUUUUCCCUCUGCCCUAGCUGCCAUCUCUCUUGCUCCCUGUUCGAACUCACAGCGCCACCACCUAAGUCUGAGGAACUCUCCUCUGUGCUCAAGCACCACCGAUUUCCCUGAUUCGCCAGCCACUGCUUUCAGUGCUGCCCAAGAGCUUGCUUGUGAUCCACAAGAAGCACCGCCGCCGCCGGACUUUCUCGCCGCCAUCCCAAGCCCUUAGUUCUUCCGCCCAAGCCUCCUCUGUAAGACGAAGGUAGGCUGCCGACCCUUGUUCGCUUCGCCCGACUCCUCUUAUCCGCCCGACCCUGGUUCCAUCUCGCCCGACCCUGUCUGUUCCGCCGACCCUUCUCCGCCUCGCCUGAGGGCUCGACUGUAUCUUUUUCUUUGAACUGAGGGUGUAUGUGUAAAACUUGGGGACCUUUCAGCGUUGAGUCUGAGGACCCCUAGUACAUCAAACCCUCUAGAUUAAGGGUCAGAUCAUAAGUUUUUUCCCCUCCGACCCUUACCUCUUGAUCUCCAUCAACUCCUUUGAACCUCCCCACCCUCCUGUAACUUGUCGCAAGUUUCUGGGCUCAGACUUGCAAGUUUUGCUGUUGAAAUAACCGUCUAUGCUAACCAAUGCAUUGCAUUUGUGUAGAGCUGCGUCUCGCCGACGGCUACUACGAGCUGCACCCGGCGCCAGAAGACGACGGUGUAGCUGAGCUUUUGCCCCCAGAAGCCGAAGCUGCCCCAGAAGUCGAGCAGUUCCCUUCCUCUUUGCUCGAAGGCAAGCCCCGGAUGCAUGAAUCCCCCUAUGUUUUACCAGACUUGCGCAUGCCUUCUUUAACAUGCUUGUGCAUUUACGUAUAGGAGUUGUUUGGAACCCUAGAUGCAUAACUUAGCUUCCGUGAUCUGAACACUAGCUGUUGGACCGAGUAGAUGCUUGCUUAAAUAGGAAACGGUAAAAGCCGAGUGAUUCCCUGUCACUCGCGAGUUGUAGGAGUUGGAUGUUUACUCUUCUGUCACAACUAUAAGGACGAUGGACGGGGCAGGGUUUUGGGUAACUCUUUGGUGGUCGGCUGAUCGCCCCGUCUGUCUAUGAAAAAUGCUAAGGCCCGACAGUGGUGGUGUUUGUGAUCAAGUGUUUGAAAGUACUAAUCUCAUACCUAGAAUGGGAUGGGGAAGCCUAGUACCUGAUUGAACUAGGGCGUGGCUUAUACCCCUGCUGUCCCUGGAACGAGGUUCCCAUGGUGCAUCAUGUGGGUGCAAGUGCGGUCACAGUACGGCAGAGGCCGGGACUGUGGAGCAUUGCAUGCCAAGGGAAGUUUGGACCUGACACGCGCCUGGGAAUUGAUGGGGACGACCGACACGGGAAGCGGCCCUUGUGGUGCGCGGAUGUCGUGAGAUUAGGUUCGCCAUGCAUGGUUAAGAAACUCGAAUCAAUUCGUCUGCCUCUCACAGUUUGAGACUGCUUGAUCGCUAUGUCACCUGAGUAAAUAAGGAAUCUGAUGAUGACAUGGUUUUGCUGAUGUUGUAUAUACCUUUGAUUGGUUCUAUGAUUGCUUAGAAUAGGUUACAAACUUAGAACGGAUAAUGAACUUAGAACCGGAGCUAAAACUUGAAAGUAGGGUUACCUUAGCGCUUUUGGCAAACAAACCCCUCAGCCAAAAAAACCCUUGCAUGUCUAGAAGAGGUAGUUUAGCGCGCUCCCUGUCGGUUAAGUCUUGUUGAGCUUAAUUAGUAGCUCAGCCUUGUUGUGGCUCUUCUUUUUCAGGUAAAGUUGCUGCUUCUGAGCCCCUUUCUGCUAGCACUUGGCCGCCCCAACUCCCUCCGGGUUGGACGGUCGAGUGGGAUCCCUCCUCGGACGGCGAGGAGAGGGAUCAGUGACGUCCCGGUUGGCCUCGGUUGGCCUCACCAGGGAUGUCCGACCCCGACGAAAUAGCUUCCGCUUGUUGUUUUAUCUUCGGUGGUUUUCUUUCAAACCUUGUAAACUCUGAUGAUGGUUUAUAACCAAACUAGAUGGUUAAUUUGCUUAACUUAGUGGACUUGUUGUAUUCUCUGGAACCGCUCACCUUCGGGUGGGUCUGUUAUUCGGUCCUGUUCAAGUGGUUAAAUCGGAUGAAAUCCGAUGGCACUUCGUGUUUACUCGGUUAGGCAUGAGCGUCGCGUGUCAUGCGACUAAAUCAUGUUUAACUAAGCAAAUCCGAAGUGGAUCCACCACAGUACCGUUGGAUUUCAUCCGAUUUAACCACUUAAUAGGAUCGAGUUAGCAUAGCUCACACGAAGGUGAGUGGUUCCAGAGAAUACAACAGAUCCAUAAUUUGAUUAACAAGUUGUUAACAAGUUUACAAAGGUUGAAAGAAACAACAGAAGUUAGAAACAAGCGGAAGCUACUCGUUGGGGUCGGAUAUCCCUGGUGAGGCCAGCCAGGACAUCAAUGAUCCCAUUCCCCACCGUCCGAGGAAGGAUCCCACUCGAUCGUCCAACCCGGAGGGAGCUGGGGCGGCAAGUGCCAGCAGCAAGCUCUGAAGCUGCAACUUCACCUGAAAAGAGAAGCCACAACAAGGCUGAGCUUCUAAGCUCAACAAGACUUAACCGACCGGUGAGAGAAACUAUUCCACCACGGCUAGACAUGCAAGGCUCUUUGGCUGAGGUGUUUUGUUUGCCAAAAGCGACUAUGUUAGGUCCUUGCUUUCAAAGUUUUAGCUCAGAUUCUAAGUUCAUUUACCAGUCUAUGUUGGCAACUUACACUAAGCAAACAUAGAUCCAAUUUUAUGUAUAUAAGCUCAUCAUCAAGACCAUGUCAUCAUCAGACUCCUUCAUUACUCAGUGUAGCAUUAUGAUCAAGCAGUCUCAAACUGUGAGAGGUAGACGAAUCGAUUCGAGUUCCUUAACCAUGCAUGAUGAACCUAACCUCACGAUAUCCGCGCACCAUCAGUUCCCUAACCCGUGUCGGGUCCACUUCCUUUGGUGCAAGGUUCCACAGACCCAGCCUCUGUCGUUCUGCGACCACACUUGCCACCACGUGCAGCCGUAGGGGAACUUCGUUCCAAGGACAGUGGAGCGACCGCUCACGUUUAGGUUCAAUCGGGUAUUAGGCUUCCAUAUCCCAUAUUGGGUAUGAGAUUAGUACUUUCAAACACUUAAUCACGAACACCGCCACUGUCGGGCCUUAACAGGUUCAGUAAACAGACGGGGCGAUCAGCCGACCACCAAAAGAGUUAACCAUAACCCUGCCCCGUCCAUUGUCCUUAUAGUUGUAACAGAAGAAAACAACCAACUCCUAUAACUCGCGAGUGACAGGAAAUCACUCAGCUUUUACCGCUUCCUAUUUAAGCAUUGCAACUACUCGACCCAACAGACUAGUGUACAUUUCAAAGGAACUAUGGCAUGCAUCUAUGGUUGCAAACAACUCCUAUACGUAAAUGCACAAUCAUGAGAAGGAAGGCAUGCGCAAGUUUGGAAAGAUGGGUUCAUGAUCCGGGGCUUGCCUUCAAGCGGAGAGGAGGGAAACUAGUCUUCAGCUGGGGCUGCUUCGGCUUCUGGGAUUGGCAGCUCAGCUACGGCUCUGUCUUCGGGCGCCGGGUGUAGCUCGUAGACGCCGUCAGCGAGACGUAACUCUACACGAAUGCAAAUGCAGGAGUUAGUGUUUAGACGGUUAUUUCAACACACUUGCAAGUUAAAGCUCGGACACUUGUAGCAAGGCUACAGAAAAGGUGGGGGAAGUUCACUUUAGUUGGUGGAGAACAGGAUAAAAGGGUCGGAUGGGGGAAAACUUGGGAUCUGACCCUUAAAGUUAAGAAAUAACUGUGUCGUGGUCCUCGGACUUAACACCGGGGAGUUCCCGAUAUUUUGCACAGAUACCCUCGGGUCAAGGAAAAGGAUACAGCCAAGCCCUUUGGCGAGAUGAUAAGGGUCGGCGAAACAGAUAGGGUCGAGCGAGGCGAAAAAGGGGCUAGGCGAAUCGUAAAGGGGUCGGCAGCUUACCUUCAGGUUUAUAGGUGAAGCUUGGGGUCGGGAAGGAGCAGACUUGGGUGGAAGGACUUAAGCACUAAGGCUUGGGCGGCGGCGAGGUUGGACAAUGCUCCGGCGGCGGCGGAGCUUCUUGUGGGCAACAAAGAAGCUCUAGCACACCACGAAGGAGCAGACGGCUGGGUGGACUGGGGAGAAGCGGACUUGAGUGGAGAGGGGAACUUUUCGAGAUUUCAGCGGGAUUGCUCAAGUGCGCUCAGAGUAGGGGAGGUGAAACAGCAAGGGCGAAGGAAGUCCGGUGGAACUCUGGCAUUCCUUUUUAUAGCUGCGCGGAAGAGAGAGAUUUCGAGCAGCACGAAGACCGGGAAGAAAAGGAUGGGGUGCGCUGCCAUGAUGGCGAUUGAGCGGCGAUGGGCGGCGGAACAGGACCUUGGAGAUAGAGUCUUCGGCCAUUGGGCACUGGAGACAAGGCGGAGCAGGCGCGGUUUUGCCGGGGUUUAGAUUUGGCGGAGGUGAGCGUAGCCUGGUCGCGUCGAGCGGCGGAUUUGACUGGUGUGACAGGGGGAAAGGCGCUACAAGCGAGGUUGCAACAGGUGAAGUGAUAGGGCGAGCAGCGGCGCGAGCAAGCGCGAAACAGCGGCAUUGCCGAAGCACGUCACUGGUGGGGCGAGAAAAGGAGCUGUCGCGGCCAAAGUCGGGGUUGGCGAGGGAGGUAUCGUCGUGGAGUGAGCUCGUGCGCGGCGCGACUGUGGAGAGGCGGCGGAAAAAUCGGAAGGCAUCGGGUCUUACAGCCGGGGAUCCGGUGAGAUGAUGGACGCGGGUCGCGAGGCGGUCUGACGCAGCAGCGGCAAAACUCUGCCAUGGCAGCGACGGGGCACCUUGGCGCGGCCGGCGAGGGCGCGAGCGAGACGGGGAGAAGCAGAAAGGGUUGCAGAGGGGCUUCCGCUACGAUUGGGGAGGAGGGCGCGUGGAUCCAUCCUAUCGCGGCCGGCGGCUGGGCGAAGCGGCGGGUGUCAGAGAGAUCAUGCCACGCGGCGGGGAAGCUCUGAAGCGGGCGCAUGCUGCUCGGCGCGUCUGCCUCGUGAGAUCCGGGGAGAAGAUUGCGGGUCCACCAGUCAGUCUCGGUUGUUCCACAGCUCCAAGAUUGAAAGGAACACUGCCUUUGGGUACUCAGAAGGAACCGGCAGUUUUGGUUGGGUUCUCAGGGGUCGGGACUAAGAACCGGUUUUUGGAGCGCUUAAGCUCAGGGGAGCUGAGACAGAGGGAUUAGGGACCCGGAUUAAGAUUAACUCGGCCAAUCAACCAAGGUCGUUACACCUAUGGGUUCGGAUACGUAUAGACAUGGCCCGAGUACUCCUACUCGGUCCAAUAGUUAGUAGCGGCCUCUAGCAAGACGUGCCAACUCCUAUACGCACACGAAGAUCAUAUCAGACGAACCGUCACAACAUUAUGUACAUGCUAUUCCCUUUGCCUCACGAUAUUUGGUCUAGCUCCAAGCCGACCGCUCUUUCUCGAUCCUGUGAUUCGGAAUCCCUUUGUAGGUUAACUCUUAACCGUACGUAGCAUGGUCAUGCAUUUUCGGAUCCGAUCACUCGAGGGGCCCAGAGAUAUCACUCUCAAUCAGAUAGGGGUAAAUUCCAUCUUGAUUGACCAUGUCUCACAGCAUUCUUCCUGACAAACCCGAAAGCUACCUUUAUAACUACCCUGUUACGGUGUAGCGUUUGAUUGCCCCUAAGUGAGUCGAUUCACAUCUCGAGUACAUGCGACAAUCUCAGGUCUAAGGAUAAAGCGUACUUGUUGUGUAAAGCGAGAACUACUUCUCGUGUUGGGUCAGUCCUAGCCCAUGUCUCCACAUGCGCCCACAUUGUUAGUUUAACAUCUCCAUGUCCAUGACUUGUGAAACAUAGUCAUCAACUAAUACAUGUGCUAGUCUAAUAUUCAUGUGUGUCCUCAUAUGAACUCCGACUAGGGACAACUUUAGAAUAACCAUACAAGUAAAGAGUUUUUUUAACAAUUCACAUAAUUGCAAAUCAAUUCAAGUAGCCUUUAAUGGAUAUUCAAUGAACACAAUAUAUAAAACAUGGAUACAAAUGUAAUAUCAUCAUCUCUAUGAUUGCCUCUAGGUCAUACCUCCAACACUCUCUGCGUAUCCUGCUGUCGAUUUCUCGUACGAUGAUGAUAGAGUUGGAGAUUUUCUCGUGACGCUUGGGCAUCCUCAUGGCAUGCGGGGCUAUCAUGAUGUAUGGAACAACUCCGGCUUGGUCACCUCAGUUGCUUCCAUCCUAAAACAGCUACUAUUAAUCAUGUACGAAUAAUUAACACACGUGCGCGCGCACAGAGGCGUACAGUGCAUGCAUAUUGAUAGUAGCUAACGUGCACUACAUGAAUGUAUACUUGCAGCAAGGAGGUCUGUCCUACUGCCACUGGUUUGGGCAAUAUUGUCCAAAUAUUUAAUUAGUGGUGACUUUGGCACCGGUCCGGGCGCGUGCGGCUCACCAGUUUUUGGAGUAGAUGGCCGGGUGGUAGGCAUGAGCAUCUCUUAAGUCUAAGAUAUGACAUAUGUUCUUUCAGUGGGGUGGAUAUGGGAGACACUACAAAUGUACUUCCAGUACUAUGUAUGUGUCUAGUAUACAUUCACUGUACUCCACACAUGGCCCAUCACAUCAGGCCUAUCAGGUCUACGCAGUGGCCCCUAGUUUAUUGGGCGAGAGAGGAUAUGAUGCCCAUCAUGUAGUACAGAUGUAUUUCUAGUACUAUGUACACAUACACUGUACUUCACACCUUGCCCAUCUCAUCCAUCCAAUCAGGUCUAUGCAGUGCCCCUCAGUUUAUUGGGCUAGAGAGUAAAUGAUGCCCAUCAUGUAGUACAGAUGUACUUCUAGUACUAUGUACACAUACAAGCUAGUAUAUUUUCACUGCACUGGAGUAGUUAAAUUAAUAAUGGCACAUAAUAUCCUGGGCAUUGCUAAUAAAUUAAGGCGCACCAGUAUACUCGUACCCGCAGGAACUAUGACCAGCUCCCACCUGAAAGCAUUCAUGCAAAGCGGAUAGAAGAAGAACACGCCAUGUCCGUGGUAAGGCUGUGCAUCGCAAGAACUAAGAAGAACAAAGGACGUGGCACCGGUUUUAUCGUGGUCAACACCGCGAACAAGCUUGUGGUCAUGACCUGUGGCCACUUGUUAAAUGAAUGGGUUAGAGGUACAAAGGUAGGCGUCACAUUCCAUGACAUGAGAGAUGCUAGUGCCAAAGCGGUGUGGGUUAAUACAGAGAAGGAGGUUGCAUUGCUUCUCAUAGAUACCCCUUCCAAUCCUGAAUUCUCUACGUAUCCUGC